UGUUUUGAUUGCAUAGCCCUUUGUUUCUGGGAUAAUAUUUAUUUUUAGCUCCCAUCUUCAGUGUUCAGAGUUUUUAUGGAUUUAGCUUAUCAGUGAAGUGAUGCUCAAAUGACUGAUCCCAGAACUUUUGUGAAAAAUAUUCAUAGUAUCACCCAUGGUUUAUGAUUCAAUAAGGAGACAUAUGAAGUAUUCUUUUCCCUAGUGAUCUCAAGUGACACACACUAAAGACAGUGAGCUCUUGAUGUGCUGACAUUUGUUCCUGGAAAAGAAGAAAAAAAAAAAGAAAAAAAACAAUAGCAUAUUAUAAAAUUUCAGCCUUCAGAUGCUAAAAAAAGGAGGAAAUGGAAGAAAAGAACUGCCUCGAGUCAGAAAUCAGCAAGACAAUAUGUAGUGCUUCUGUAGCUUCAAAGCAGGCUGACUCAGAAGCUAAUGUUUUGGUAGAAAAGGUCAAGAAGAAAAUGGUUUAUGAUUCUCAGUGAUCUUUAUAUUAAGUGACUCUUAGGUCUCCAAUUACAGAGCUGCUCUUCGAUGGAAAAAAAAAUCAACCACUCUGUUAACAGCAGAAAAUAGUGCAAGUGAGCACAGCCUACAGUUGCAGGGUGUGAGGAGGGGGGGACAGAAGGAAUAAAAUGGAUGAAAAGUAGUGAAGUUUUUUGUGGAGAGUGCCUCAAUCCAGAUGAAAAAUAGAGCAGAGGAUGCUGAUAGAUAACAUAAUAAGAGGAACAAAAUUUGUCAAUAAGUAACUGCAUGAAUAAUAGAGAGAUUGACACAACCAUAGCAUUUCCUUUUUUUCUGUGAUCCCUUUUGGUUCUGUCUUUCAUCUUUAAAGGAGCCGAGAAGGGGAUUCUCACUUAAGCAAAUGAGAGCCCCAACAAGCACCUCCCAAUAACAAUCAGUUACGAGGGCCUGCACUUCAGGUGGGUGCUCCAAGGGAGCCCAGGGCUUUCUGUAAAGCUGCUGCCCAACCUCUUUUAAAAAAUGGUCUCUUGUUCUCUGUGCUUUGAAGCUGGAGAAGCCUUGCAAAUACUUAUAUUGUUAAAGGUUCACCCCUGCAAUGGGAGAAAAAAGUCACUCUAUCUUCCACGGUUUUGUUGUGCAACAGGUAGAGGGAACCCAAACAGAAGCUGCAAAGCUCUCUGGCAAAAGCUUUCCUUAUUUGACACUGCUUCUUCAUGUUAAGUAGUUGCUAAUUACACUUGAAAAGGCUUGUACUUGAAAUUUUUCUUAGGAAACCUCAAGUAGAAGCAUGAAAAGCAUUUUUCAUGUGCACACUGAGAAGCUUGAUGUUCAAUUGAUAACCAGUAGCAGUAGGAACCUACUUUCCAUAAAAAAGUCUUAAAAAUUCUUUCAUCCAAAGAGCAUUCUAAAAAUAAGCAUUUUCUGUACUUUGAGGAAAUGAAGUGGGGAUUUGUUUUUGUUUGUAUCAAAUAAAUGGAUUUUGAUCCCUGGCAGCUGUUUUUUUCUUUAACAAAAAUUCAAACAGUUUCGUAACAUUAUCGUUUUGGCAAAGUAACAAUAUUCCAAACACUCUUUUUCUUCCCUGUGAGCCAAGACAAGUUAGUAUAUAUGGUCAUUUCAAAACAUCUGGUUUUAAACCACUCAUUUUUAAUUCAUUUUUACAGAAAUUGUUGUGUUAUUUGUUGCCUAUAUUAUUUCUUCUCUUUAGGUCAAAAAGAAAUAACCAGCCAAUAACCUCUUCCAUUCUGUAUUUGAAACUCAUUUAAAAAAAAAAAAAAUCCAUCAAAUGCACUUUUAUCUAAAUAACAUACUUAAAACCUGAACUCUGAAUAGAAAUUAAAGGCUAUGGGGUAAUUUUUUCCCAUUUUUUUUUUGCGAAUUAUAACAGUUGUCUUCCUACUUUAUAGCUGUCUUUUAUCUUCCAGCAGUGACACCCACCAUCUGACUUAUGAUCUCUCUACAGGAAGUCAUUGAGUGACACAAUAGAGUUAAUGAAUUGGUCUUUCACCUCCAAAACCCUGAUCUAAAUGCUAGCCUCAGAUAAUGAGCAUGAUGGAGUUCAGUAAUGUCAGCAGAGUAUUAACUUCUGUUUAAAGGAAGAAUGAGUACUGGCAGGAAAAUGGAUUUUAAGAGAGAUUUGGAGCAAUUGCACCUGCAUGCAUUAUGGCAACUCUAGCCUUCCUUCAUUAGAGUCAUAUUCACAUUAUCUCUUUGCCAUUUGAAUAGAAUUUGGCAGAGGUUUAUCUGCAAAGCCUGUGAUUUAUCAGGGUUCUUUAUAGAUAUUUGAGUUCCAUACCACUCUGUCUAAGCACAACACCUUCAGUACCUGGUGGUUUAAUAUCAGGAUAGAUCUAUAUAGAGAAUCAGGAGCACUUUAACCGGUCAAGGGUAAUAUUUACUAUCAAACACAUACAUAAUGAUAACAUAUCUCAGGAAAAUACCCCGCUAUCAUCUAGUAAGCACUGGGUUAACUACAGAAGUCAGCAGGACUGACAGCAUGUUCAUCUUCCUAGUGCAGAAAGGCCAAAUACAGUUUAUUUCACUGAGGAUCUCUAUCCCUGCUGAAAGUGGAUUAUUGGGGUGCAUUGGAAGCCUUUAGCAUCUAUAGAAGUUACUCCCUCUUUCCUUUUUGGAGGGACUAGUAAGAGGUCAGCAACAUCUUUCCAAGCAAUUGAUCAUUCACAGAUAUACUACAAACUGUCAAAUCAUCUGACCAAAGGCAAAAAAAAAAAAAAAAUGUAUUCAAAUUUGUUGGUAUAUUUACACCAUCUUUCUAGCUCUCCCUCUUUGUUGUUUAGGACAUAUCCCACCUGCACUCUUAUGGGUCACUGUUUUCAGUCUAAAAUGGGAAGCAUCUCUCACACUUUUCUCAGGUUCUUGACAGGUUUGUAGCUGUGCUGGUCCAGUAAUGUUGUUACCGAUCUUAAGUCUACUUCAAAAAGUACAGUGUCUGGUCCAUGUGCCAAAAGAUCCAUGUGCCCAUAUCAAGUGCUCUCACUAACUUCCAAGCUUCCACAGAUUCUCCAAAACAAUGAGGAUGAUCUAGUUGUCUUGUCAGUUAAGAGAGUAUUUAAUCUGAAAAACAGCAGCCCAAAAUGAUAGAUUGCAGUCAGCUCGUUAUUCUCAAUCUGCACUUUUGAUAUCACUUCCAGACAUAGCACUGGUAAGAGCAGCUGGCUGGCAGUGGGCAAUAGGGAAGGCUGCCACUUUGUUCUUGGUUGGUUUGGGUUAGUUUUUUCUUUAACUCCACAGCCCUUGAUUCACUCCUAACUACCAUCCAUAAAUAAACAGCUUUAACGCAGCUUUGUCCUCCUCUUGCCCUCUCUCUUUCCCCUCCACUGCUGCCUGCAAUUCCCACCAAAAAGCUGGUUUCACAUGCGCAUAUCCAAGUUUAGCUGAACUUAGUCUAUGCCUGUCUCCAAUCAAAAGUUAAUUUUAAACUUAAGCAGAUGUUUGUCCCCAGUGUUUACAUAGCUGAUAUCUUUAGAAGACAAAUGUUCUCUUGGCUUUUGUUAUUCUAGAUUAAACAAGCCAAAUUCUCUUUGGGUGUGACUGACAGAGAGCAGGCAAUGGUGUUUGUGCUUAGCUGGUGCCAGGGGCCAGCUGAACCCGUGGCAGACCAGGACCAGAAGCCAGGCAGAUAUUUGUGUGUGAAUACCUGCUCAGUGAUGCAUUUGCAGCAUUUAGUCCUGCCAGUCAGGGCCUGUUUACACCAUCAGUGAUCAGCCCAGGUCUGAAGCCUAGUUCUGCACUGAUACAGGGAUAGGGCUUUCAGUCCUAGAUGGCUUUGCUUUGAUCAGAAUACGGGCAGAAAAAAUGCACCUGGAUGUGUGAAGCAGAACAUCCAUGUCUUCUUGGGCGCAUUCUCCAAUCCUACAGUUUGCCAAGAAGCUUUUCACAAACUUAUCUGUUAAACAGAUGAACUCUCUUCUGUCCAUGCACAAUUGUUUUUAGGUCCUAAGACCAUGUCUGAACCUGGUAAAGCUGAGCUGGUUCCUGACAGGAGUGAAGGUUUUAUUUGUGUGUUUGCCUUGGGCUGAGGCUCAGAGCUGUAGCACUUGGUGUAGUUGACCUGCCCCAGUGGUAUGACCCAGGACUUGCUCACAGACUGCAUGAACAGAGCACUCAUUGGGUUACUGAUGUGUCAAAAUGCUGAGCAGGUACCACUGAAAUGCUGAAUGUGACACAUAUCUCAAUGUCCUUUGCACCAGGGUCUUGGUAUCUUGCUUGGGACCCACAGACAUGUGAGCUUAAAGACCUGCAAACCUGUCAUGAGCACUGGAAAUGCUGCUUUAGAGUGCAUAUGUAUGGGGGCAAAGGAGGAACAUAAGGAAGCUUGGAAAGGAGUUAUCUUUUGCUUUUACUGUCUGCCUUUUCACUCCAUUUGUUCUGUGCUGCAGCUGAGAAGAAAACUGUUAGAUGUAUUACUGUAUACUGUAAUGGCACAUUUGGUCAGCUCCAUUAAGCUUUGGUGUAUUUCUAUA
Pezoporus occidentalis (night parrot) is the source of this 4442-nucleotide long non-coding RNA. RefSeq lists it as uncharacterized. The record is from RefSeq and is a predicted model, not a curated record. NCBI's taxonomy places the organism in Eukaryota, Metazoa, Chordata, Aves, Psittaciformes, Psittacidae. The transcript has 2 exons.